RNAcentral lists this ribosomal RNA (479 nucleotides) under uncultured bacterium. RNAcentral's name for it is "bacterial SSU rRNA". It matches the Rfam family "Bacterial small subunit ribosomal RNA", at positions 29 to 507 of the family's 1533-position model. The record is from RNAcentral.
AACGAACGCUGGCGGCAGGCCUAACACAUGCAAGUCGAGCGAAGCCUUCGGGUUUAGUGGCAGACGGCUGAGUAACGCGUAGGCAACCUGUCCCACAGUGAGGGAUAACCCGUCGAAAGACGGGCUAAUACCCCAUUCGCUCCUGGGGUGAAACUCCCCAGGAGGAAAGCCGCAAGGCGCUGAGGGAGGGGCCUGCGUCCUAUCAGGUAGUUGGUGAGGUAACGGCUCACCAAGCCGGCGACGGGUAGCUGGUCUGAGAGGAUGUCCAGCCACACUGGAACUGAGACACGGUCCAGACUCCUACGGGAGGCAGCAGUGGGGAAUAUUGCGCAAUGGGCGCAAGCCUGACGCAGCGACGCCGCGUGAGUGAUGAAGGCCUUCGGGUCGUAAAGCUCUGUCGGACGGGAACGAAAACGCGAAGGGAACAAUACCCCUUCGCUCUGACGGUACCUGUCCAGAAAGCACCGGCUAACUCCGUG